CAUAUCAAUAAGCGGAGGAAAAGAAACCAACAGGGAUUGCCCUAGUAACGGCGAGUGAAGCGGCAACAGCUCAAAUUUGAAAUCUGGCUCUCUUUGGGGGUCCGAGUUGUAAUUUGCAGAGGAUGCUUUGGCAUUGGCGGCGGUCUAAGUUCCUUGGAACAGGACAUCGCAGAGGGUGAGAAUCCCGUACGUGGGCGCCUGCCUUUGCCGUGUAAAGCUCCUUCGACGAGUCGAGUUGUUUGGGAAUGCAGCUCUAAAUGGGAGGUAAAUUUCUUCUAAAGCUAAAUACCGGCCAGAGACCGAUAGCGCACAAGUAGAGUGAUCGAAAGAUGAAAAGUACUUUGGAAAGAGAGUCAAAAAGCACGUGAAAUUGUUGAAAGGGAAGCGCUUGCAGCCAGACUUGCCCGCAGUUGCUCACCUAGGCUUUGGCCUGGGGCACUCUUCUGCGGGCAGGCCAGCAUCAGUUUGGGCGGUUGGAUAAAGGCCUCUGUCACGUAUCUUCCUUCGGGAUGACCUUAUAGGGGAGGCGUAAUGCAACCAGCCCGGACUGAGGUCCGCGCAUCUGCUAGGAUGCUGGCGUAAUGGCUGUAAGCGGCCCGUCUUGAAACACGGACCAAGGAGUCUAACAUCUAUGCGAGUGUUUGGGUGUCAAGCCCGGGCGCGCAAUGAAAGUGAACGGAGGUGGGAACCCUUUGGGUGCACCAUCGACCGAUCCUGAUGUCUUCGGAUGGAUUUGAGUAAGAGCAUAGCUGUUGGGACCCGAAAGAUGGUGAACUAUGCUUGAAUAGGGUGAAGCCAGAGGAAACUCUGGUGGAGGCUCGCAGCGGUUCUGACGUGCAAAUCGAUCGUCAAAUUUGGGCAUAGGGGCGAAAGACUAAUCGAA
Molecule: ribosomal RNA, 883 nt
Filed under: Pseudocamarosporium pini
Lineage: Eukaryota; Fungi; Ascomycota; Dothideomycetes; Pleosporales; Didymosphaeriaceae
Description: eukaryotic LSU rRNA
Rfam family: Eukaryotic large subunit ribosomal RNA
Source: RNAcentral